CCAAAUGUACACUCCAUAUCUAAGAAUGGACCAUUGCUGGACUAAAUGCUUGCAUCUUCAUGAUCUACAAUCGCAGCUGCAUCCGAUAGGCUAGCAUUGUACGUCUUCAGCCUUUUCAUGGACUUCAAUUUGUUGUAGGGCGAAUUAAGAAGGACAACAGGAAGCUCUCUUCUAUAAUUGUCGAUGUAUGCCUGCAUGGGAGGAUAUGUUAGUACCAUUCCAUAUGUUUACAAAAUUGAGAGAAUUUUAGGUGUUCCUCUACGUACUUGGUCAUAAUGCAGUCUAAGAUCUUCUCCCGUAAAGAAUUCGAUGUUCUUCAGCAUGUAGAGUGCACAAGAAGAACUACAACAAUUAAUUCUGUUAGCAGCAUUUCACGUAUUAACAAUGAAAAACAUAAUUAGAAGCUAAUAUUGUUGACUGACUUGUCAUCUUGUCUUGGCACAGGCACAUGCUUUACUGUCCAUUGGGUCACGUUAAUGUCUUGCCAUGC
This 490-nucleotide long non-coding RNA is filed under the name Triticum aestivum (bread wheat). RNAcentral's name for it is "long non-coding RNA (TAES_LNC002139)". Lineage: Eukaryota; Viridiplantae; Streptophyta; Magnoliopsida; Poales; Poaceae. The record is from RNAcentral.